UGGAAAGUUCAUUGUUCGGCACCAUGGAUCUCCAGGUGGGUCACGGUUAGAAAUACACCAACCUGGAGGACUCCAUGCUGUCGAGCUGUUCAUGA
RNAcentral lists this microRNA precursor (95 nucleotides) under Cavia porcellus (domestic guinea pig). Its description in RNAcentral is "mir-490 microRNA precursor family". It matches the Rfam family "mir-490 microRNA precursor family". Lineage: Eukaryota; Metazoa; Chordata; Mammalia; Rodentia; Caviidae. The record is from Rfam by way of RNAcentral.